This 205-nucleotide unclassified non-coding RNA is filed under the name plant metagenome. RNAcentral describes it as "partial contains small subunit ribosomal RNA, internal transcribed spacer 1, and 5.8S ribosomal RNA". The record is from RNAcentral.
GUAGGUGAACCUGCGGAAGGAUCAUUAUCGAGUUAGGGUCGUUCUGGCCCAAACUUCCAACCCCUUGUUUAUCAUUCCAUGUUGCUUUGGUGGGCCCGCUCUUUUUGGGGCCGCCGGAGGUUUAUCUUACCUCUAGCCUGUGCCCGCCAGUAGCCUUAUUAAAUUCUUUAACUGUAUCGUCUGAGUGGCAUUUUAAAUCGUUUAA